Solanum tuberosum (potato) is the source of this 1896-nucleotide long non-coding RNA. RefSeq lists it as uncharacterized. NCBI's taxonomy places the organism in Eukaryota, Viridiplantae, Streptophyta, Magnoliopsida, Solanales, Solanaceae. The transcript has 3 exons. The record is from RefSeq and is a predicted model, not a curated record.
AUUGGAGAGAGUGAGUUGUUUAUGAAGAAGAUAAUAUAAUAUUGGAGGGUAUCCACAAUCCCAACAAGGCAACAACCAUAUCUUCCAUUAAGAGUAAAUAUUAGAGAUCACACCUUCCUCAGUUGACUUUGGUUUUUGAGUGAUGUUUCCUUUACAACAAAGUGAUGAUAAUGAGUUGGUAUUUCAGAUUCUCUCAAAUUCUUGCCAACAACACCAAAUCUCCCAAGAUUUCAUUAUGAAUUAUGCUAUUCAUCCUUCUCCACGGACCACUAUUCAUCAUCAGCUAAAUCAUGUUAAAAUUAUUCCAAAGAAAAAGAUUUGGGUACAAAUAAUCCACAUAAAGUUAAUGAUGAUGAUUUGAAGCUUAAGAAAAUUAUGCAUAGAGAUUUGGAACGUCAGAGAAGGCAAGGAAUGUCUAUUCUUCAGUCUUCUCUAAGAUCUCUCCUCCCUAUUCACUAUGUCAAGGGAAAAAGAUCAGUGUUGGAUCAUAUGCAUGAAGCGGUGAAGUAUAUCAAACAGUUGCAGGAAAAUAUGAAUGAGUUAGAAAGAAAAAAGAGAAGCUAAAAAUUAUGCUUCCUAACUCAAGGAAUAAUAAUCCUUGUGGAAAGGAAAAUAUAGUGUAUCCCAACAUUGUGUGACAGUGAGUCCAUGUCAAGGUGGUGUAGAGAUUUUAAUCAAUGCAAAAGGAAAUAAUUUAGCCCUCAAUCUCCAGAGUGAUACAAGAGCUAAUUAAUGUAACAAGGGAUUGAUGUUGUUACUUGUGUUUCUGCUAAUGUCAAUCAAAACUCUCUCCAUAAAAUUCAAUCCGAGGUACGUGAUAUGAAAUGUAUCAAUGUUCAUGCACUGCAAACAAAGUUGAUUGAUGUGAUCAUGAACAUUGAUUUGGAGUAGUUUUUAAGUGGAAAUCCUUAAGUCAGAACUCAAGAAUCAUGCCAAGUAAUCAUCAAGACCUUCUUUCCCUCUUAUAUAUCUCGAAUAAUAUGUGAUUUUAGUUACUACUACUAUUCAAUAAAAGAGGUUAGGAAAAUGCUUGAUGAUUGAGCUAAUAAAAAUAAGGGAUAAGGCACAAGUACCCUAUACUAUGACUCAAAUUUCAGAGAUACACUUUAACUAAACUAAGGUCCUAUUACCACCCCCGAACCCAUUAUUUUUUAUAAUUUUGUACACCUUUUUGGCUUAUGUGGCAUGCAAACAUCUGUCACACGCUUUUACCUAUGUGGAGUCACAGAGUGUGCCAUGCACGCAAGCCCAAAGGUGUACAAAGUUACAAAAGAAAUGAGUUCAGGGGGUAAUAUGACCUUAAUUUAAUUUAAGUGUGUCUUUGAAAUUUCAGUCAUAAUUAAUCUGAAAGAUACUUAUGCCUUAUCCCUAAAAAUAAUGGUGGUUUUGAGCAUAUUAUAUAGAUUUGACUUGCAAGAGAUCAAUGAUGAAGAUAUAUCCACGUGAAGAGUCCCAUAUCGGUCCUUAAAAUAAUUUGGUUAUUCUUAUUUAAUUGCUUGAACUAGUUUUUGAGGUUAGUUAGACUCUCGAUCCAUUUCCUCAAUAAUAUAUUUGUUCACUUCAUGAUGGAAAAUAUAGAAUGAGAAAUGGAUCUCCAGUCUCCUGACUUUCUGAUGUCAUAGGAGAAGAUGACAAAUAUUUGCAUUUGGAUUAUAUACAUAGUGCAAUACUAAAUGUUGCAUGCUUUGCUGGAAUAAAAGGUUUAAUCUGUCUCUCUGGCAUAUAUAUUAGAAUGAAUAUAGAUGGUAAAAUCAUGUGCAUAACUAAUUCCGAAUUGUUUGAAAACAUACACAUGCUCAGAAAAUACUUAAAUGGGUCAUUUUGUUGGUGGUUAGUUAGAGUUGCGUAAGUAUUUGUAAUGUAAGAUUGAAAUUCGUUAUCUGUAUUAGUUAUUCA